GAGGGGUUAAAGUGUGGCACGCCACCUCAGGUGACACCCGGGCAGAAGGCCGCUUCCUUAAUUACACUGUUGCCUCUUACUGAUGUGUCAAUGUGAAUUAACCUACUACCCCCCCUUCACGUGUACAGAAACACACCACUAAUGUGCACGUUGGUGGUUAGCAGCUACCAUGGGGGUGUUUACAAUUCUCCCUGGCUAGCAGCUAUUCAAGUUAGACGGUGUCAAGAGAUGCCAUGUACAGCUCAGCAUCCCGUGUGGCUCAGUUGGUAGAGCAUGGUGUUCGAUUCCCACGGGGGACCAGUACGGGGGGGAAAAAAAUGUAUGAAAUGUAUGCAUUCACUACUGUAUGUCGCUCUGGAUAAGAGCGUCUGCUAAAUGACAAAAAAAAAAGAAGAAAAAAAAAAAGAGAGAGAGAUCAGGUGUUGAGGACAACAACAAAAUAAACGACAGUGACUCUACAUAGAAGUAGAGUAACCGUGGUUACAGAAUCCUGUUGCCACAGCUGCCGUUAUGAGUGUGUGUGUGUGUGUGGGCCUGUCCACUAAAACCCUCACCAGAUGGUCGACACCUCGCCACGUCGCCAUAACAACCCUCACUAGGCCUAAACACACUGCUACAACACACAGACCGACCAAGCUGAGGCUCUGGCUGCCUCGACCGAGACACUAAAGCCCUGUCAUUAAACCAGGCAUCCUGUUAACCAGCGGCGUGUGUUUCUAUGUUUUACAGCGUUCAGACAGUAUGCAUGGACAGGUCAGUGUUGGUGGUUAGCUAUGGACAGGUCAGUGUUGGUGGUUAGCUAUGGACAGGUCAGUGUUGGUGGUUAGCUGUGUGUUAGCUAUGGACAGGUCAGUGUUGGUGGAUAGCUGUGUAUUAGCUAUGGACAGGUCAGUGUUGGUGGAUAGCUGUGUAUUAGCUAUGGACAGGUCAGUGUUGGUGGAUAGCUGUGUGUUAGCUAUGGACAGGUCAGUGUUGGUGGAUAGCUGUGUAUUAGCUAUGGACAGGUCAGUGUUGGUGGUUAGCUGUGUAUUAGCUAUGGACAGGUCAGUGUUGGUGGAUAGCUGUGUGUUAGCUAUGGACAGGUCAGUGUUGGUGGAUAGCUGUGUGUUAGCUAUGGACAGGUCAGUGUUGGUGGAUAGCUGUGUAUUAGCUAUGGACAGGUCAGUGUUGGUGGUUAGCUGUGUAUUAGCUAUGGACAGGUCAGUGUUGGUGGAUAGCUGUGUAUUAGCUAUGGACAGGUCAGUGUUGGUGGAUAGCUGUGUGUUAGCUAUGGACAGGUCAGUGUUGGUGGUUAGCUAUGGACAGGUCAGUGUUGGUGGAUAGCUGUGUGUUAGCUAUGGACAGGUCAGUGUUGGUGGAUAGCUGUGUGUUAGCUAUGGACAGGUCAGUGUUGGUGGUUAGCUGUGUGUUAGCUAUGGACAGGUCAGUGUUGGUGGAUAGCUGUGUGUUAGCUAUGGACAGGUCAGUGUUGGUGGAUAGCUGUGUAUUAGCUAUGGACAGGUCAGUGUUGGUGGAUAGCUGUGUAUUAGCUAUGGACAGGUCAGUGUUGGUGGUUAGCUGUGUAUUAGCUAUGGACAGGUCAGUGUUGGUGGAUAGCUGUGUAUUAGCUAUGGACAGGUCAGUGUUGGUGGAUAGCUGUGUAUUAGCUAUGGACAGGUCAGUGUUGGUGGAUAGCUGUGUAUUAGCUAUGGACAGGUCAGUGUUGGUGGAUAGCUGUGUAUUAGCUAUGGACAGGUCAGUGUUGGUGGAUAGCUGUGUGUUAGCUAUGGACAGGUCAGUGCGUGUUCUCGGUUAGCUGUGUGUGUGUGUGUGUGUGUGUGUGUGUGUGUGUGUGUGUGUGUGUGUGUGUGUGUGUGUGUGUAUAGGGCAGGCUUAGGGAACUGUGUGUUGAUUGUUAGGGCUGGGAUAAUACCAGUAUCGUAAAUAUUGCAAAUCUUUCCAUGGCAACAAAAAAAAAAACGGUCCUUUAAAAACAUGCUGUAUGCACAAUAUUGCGUUCUAUAACCUGGGAAAUAAAUACAAGUGACUCUGGAUGACAUCAUAAUGAUGCUUGUUUCCAACAUUAGAGCUGUUUUCCUAAAGGAGUUACAUCUGAUAAAUGUUUUGUUUCCUUGCCACGAUACUAAGGAACAUGGCGAUGCCGCUACGGUCCCGCUCUAGUGACUGUGUCUGAUAUAGACAGGUCCUUGUAUAUGGACUGCUAAGUGUGUUUGUGGGCAGGUCAAUGUGUUCUUGGACUGUCGUCCUGCGUUACAGUCACAGGCUCAACCCUUCGCUCCACCUCAGGCUUUUCCUCUACUACUAACACAGAACAGGGACAUUUACAGAACUAACAGUGACAGUCAAACAGGGGAGGCCACUUACUACUAAAACAUGACAGCAGAUCAGUUUGCCCAGGCUCCUUUGUCACACACUGUCCCGUAUACUACACACUGGUAUACUACGCACUAUGUACUCAUCGUUGCUUACUAACCUCCAGAAGACAAGGUCAGUACAGGUGCAUCAAAGCUGGGACCGAGAGACAAAAAAAACCAGCUUCUAUCUCAAGGCCAUCAGACUGUUAAAUAACCAUCCCUAGCCAGCUACCACCUGGUUACUCAACCCUGUACCGUAGAGGCUGCUGCCCUAUAUACAUAGACAUGGAAUCACUGACCACUUUAAUAAUGUUUACAUACUGCUUUACUCAUCUCAUAUGUAUAUACUGUAUUGUAUUUUACUGUAUUUUAGGCUAUGCCACUCUGACAUU
This 2746-nucleotide long non-coding RNA is filed under the name Salmo salar (Atlantic salmon). RNAcentral's name for it is "lncRNA (ENSSSAG00000087580.1, ENSSSAG00000107413.1)". The stretch from base 332 to 385 matches the Rfam family "UnaL2 LINE 3' element". Lineage: Eukaryota; Metazoa; Chordata; Actinopteri; Salmoniformes; Salmonidae. The record is from RNAcentral.